This 462-nucleotide ribosomal RNA is filed under the name uncultured bacterium. RNAcentral's name for it is "bacterial SSU rRNA". It matches the Rfam family "Bacterial small subunit ribosomal RNA", at positions 28 to 480 of the family's 1533-position model. The record is from RNAcentral.
GAUGAACGCUAGCUACAGGCUUAACACAUGCAAGUCGAGGGGAAACGAUGGGAGGGCUUGCCCUCCCAGGCGUCGACCGGCGCACGGGUGAGUAACACGUAUCCAACCUGCCCUCUUCCGGGGAACAACCUUGCGAAAGUAAGACUAAUGCCCCAUGUGUCCUCAGACGGCAUCAGACAAGGACGAAAGAUUUAUCGGAAGUGGAUGGGGAUGCGCCUGAUUAGGCAGUUGGCGGGGCAACGGCCCACCAAGCCGACGAUCAGUAGGGGUUCUGAGAGGAAGGUCCCCCACAUUGGAACUGAGACACGGUCCAAACUCCUACGGGAGGCAGCAGUGAGGAAUAUUGGUCAAUGGGCGGGAGCCUGAACCAGCCAAGUAGCGUGCAGGAUGACGGCCCUAUGGGUUGUAAACUGCUUUUGCGCGGGGAUAAAGUGCGCCACGUGUGGCGCAUUGCAGGUACCG